CAGCAGCCGCGGUAAUACGAAGGGUGCAAGCGUUACUCGGAAUUACUGGGCGUAAAGCGUGCGUAGGUGGUGGUUUAAGUCCGUUGUGAAAGCCCUGGGCUCAACCUGGGAAUGGCAAUGGAUACUGGCGAGCUAGAGUGUGUCAGAGGAUGGUGGAAUUCCCGGUGUAGUGGUGAAAUGCGUAGAGAUCGGGAGGAACAUCAGUGGCGAAGGCGGCCAUCUGGGACAACACUGACGCUGAGGCACGAAAGCGUGGGGAGCAAACAGGAUUAGAUACCCCAGUAGUCCCUGUCUCUUAUAC
This 301-nucleotide ribosomal RNA is filed under the name uncultured bacterium. RNAcentral's name for it is "partial 16S ribosomal RNA". It matches the Rfam family "Bacterial small subunit ribosomal RNA", at positions 509 to 807 of the family's 1533-position model. The record is from RNAcentral.